CGCAGAAGCCAUUUCUAAGAAAGCCUGGCUUCUUCCUUUCAGCAUCAAAUGGUUAGUUACUUUGCCAAACGGAAGUCCUAAAGCAGACACCACUGUAGAAGGACCAGAGCUGUUCCUGGUAGAAGGGCUGUUACUGACACCGCAACAAAGAAGCUCAUGAAUCUCUGCCAUCCAUGGCCCCUGUCGCCUCCAGCGCAGGAAGCAGGCGGUGACAGCAAGGCGGCUCCGGGAAAGCUGCCAUGAACUCAGAGUUUGCUCAACCAAACUCUUCUGCCAAGACAUUUCUACCCUGAAGCCAGCUGACUGCAGAAUGAAACCACUGAAACCACUGGCCAAAUAAUCCUUUUUAGCUUUAAGUUGAUUGACAUUUUGUCCCAGCAAUGGGAAAGAAA
Molecule: long non-coding RNA, 392 nt
Organism: Fukomys damarensis (Damara mole-rat)
Lineage: Eukaryota; Metazoa; Chordata; Mammalia; Rodentia; Bathyergidae
Exons: 3
Source: RefSeq, a predicted model, not a curated record